CUACGUGCCAGCAGCCGCGGUAAUACGGAAGGUCCAGGCGUUAUCCGGAUUUAUUGGGUUUAAAGGGAGUGUAGGCGGUUUGUUAAGCGUGUUGUGAAAUUUAGGUGCUCAACAUUUAACUUGCAGCGCGAACUGUCAGACUUGAGUACACGCAACGUAUGCGGAAUUCAUGGUGUAGCGGUGAAAUGCUUAGAUAUCAUGAAGAACUCCGAUUGCGAAGGCAGCAUACGGGAGUGUAACUGACGCUUAAGCUCGAAGGUGCGGGUAUCGAACAGGAUUAGAUACCCUGGUAGUCCGCACAGUAAACGAUGGAUGCCCGCUGUUAGCGCCUGGCGUUAGCGGCUAAGCGAAAGCAUUAAGCAUCCCACCUGGGGAGUACGCCGGCAACGGUGAAACUCAAAGGAAUUGACGGGGGCCCGCACAAGCGGAGGAACAUGUGGUUUAAUUCGAUGAUACGCGAGGAACCUUACCCGGGCUUGAAUUGCAGAGGAAUUAUUUAGAGAUAAAUAGGCCCUUCGGGK
RNAcentral lists this ribosomal RNA (521 nucleotides) under uncultured bacterium. RNAcentral describes it as "bacterial SSU rRNA". It matches the Rfam family "Bacterial small subunit ribosomal RNA", at positions 501 to 1025 of the family's 1533-position model. The record is from RNAcentral.